RNAcentral lists this ribosomal RNA (484 nucleotides) under uncultured bacterium. Its description in RNAcentral is "partial 16S ribosomal RNA". It matches the Rfam family "Bacterial small subunit ribosomal RNA", at positions 30 to 507 of the family's 1533-position model. The record is from RNAcentral.
AUUGAACGCUGGCGGCAGGCCUAACACAUGCAAGUCGAGCGGAUGAAGGGAGCUUGCUCCUGGAUUCAGCGGCGGACGGGUGAGUAAUGCCUAGGAAUCUGCCUGGUAGUGGGGGAUAACGUCCGGAAACGGGCGCUAAUACCGCAUACGUCCUGAGGGAGAAAGUGGGGGAUCUUCGGACCUCACGCUAUCAGAUGAGCCUAGGUCGGAUUAGCUAGUUGGUGGGGUAAAGGCCUACCAAGGCGACGAUCCGUAACUGGUCUGAGAGGAUGAUCAGUCACACUGGAACUGAGACACGGUCCAGACUCCUACGGGAGGCGGCAGUGGGGAAUAUUGGACAAUGGGCGAAAGCCUGAUCCAGCCAUGCCGCGUGUGUGAAGAAGGUCUUCGGAUUGUAAAGCACUUUAAGUUGGGAGGAAGGGCAGUAAGUUAAUACCUUGCUGUUUUGACGUUACCAACAGAAUAAGCACUGGCUAACUUCGUG